RNAcentral lists this transfer RNA (68 nucleotides) under Danionella mirifica. RNAcentral describes it as "tRNA-Glu". It matches the Rfam family "tRNA". From Rfam's summary of the family: Transfer RNA (tRNA) molecules are approximately 80 nucleotides in length. Their secondary structure includes four short double-helical elements and three loops (D, anti-codon, and T loops). Lineage: Eukaryota; Metazoa; Chordata; Actinopteri; Cypriniformes; Danionidae. The record is from RNAcentral.
GUUCUUGUAGUUGAAAACAAUAAUGGUCUUUCGAACCGUAGGUUUCAGUUAAAACCUGAACAAGAAUU